Molecule: ribosomal RNA, 488 nt
Filed under: uncultured organism
Description: bacterial SSU rRNA
Rfam family: Bacterial small subunit ribosomal RNA
Source: RNAcentral
AGAGUUUGAUCCUGGCUCAGAUUGAACGCUGGCGGCAUGCCUUACACAUGCAAGUCGAACGGCAGCACGGGGGCAACCCUGGUGGCGAGUGGCGAACGGGUGAGUAAUACAUCGGAACGUGUCCUGUAGUGGGGGAUAGCCCGGCGAAAGCCGGAUUAAUACCGCAUACGCUCUACGGAGGAAAGGGGGGGGAUCUUAGGACCUCCCGCUACAGGGGCGGCCGAUGGCAGAUUAGCUAGUUGGUGGGGUAAAGGCCUACCAAGGCGACGAUCUGUAGCUGGUCUGAGAGGACGACCAGCCACACUGGGACUGAGACACGGCCCAGACUCCUACGGGAGGCAGCAGUGGGGAAUUUUGGACAAUGGGGGCAACCCUGAUCCAGCAAUGCCGCGUGUGUGAAGAAGGCCUUCGGGUUGUAAAGCACUUUUGUCCGGAAAGAAAACGCCGUGGUUAAUACCCGUGGCGGAUGACGGUACCGAAGAAUAGCA